This is an RNA transcript of Homo sapiens (human), 5994 nucleotides long. It is a transcript of the gene named lines homolog 1, with no coding region annotated. The record is from RefSeq and is marked reviewed. Lineage: Eukaryota; Metazoa; Chordata; Mammalia; Primates; Hominidae. The transcript has 7 exons.
AGAGCGGGCAUUUGUGUUCCCUCAAAUGGCGGUGUGAAGAGAGUUCGCCUGAGCCAGAUCCCAGGCAGGUUUCACUGAAGAAACUUCUUAGAGAUUCAUUGCACUUCUGAGAUUUAAUGUUUACAACUUGGAGUUGUCGACCUUCUUAUAAGAUACAUUUUGGAAGUCAAAAUGAAAGUUUUCUGUGAAGUUUUAGAAGAGUUAUACAAGAAGGUACUUCUUGGAGCCACACUUGAAAAUGACAGCCAUGAUUACAUCUUUUAUCUCAACCCAGCAGUUUCAGAUCAAGAUUGUUCUACAGCCACCUCCUUAGAAUGGGCAAACACCUGUGGUAUCCAGGGCAGGCAUCAGCCCAUCUCUGUUGGUGUGGCUCCCAUUGCUGUAGCACCUGUGUGUUUGAAGACCAACUCUCAGAUGAGCGGUUCCAGAGAAGUAAUGCUCCUUCAGUUAACAGUGAUCAAAGUGAUGACAACCCGGAUAUUGUCUGUCAAAACCGAGUUCCAUGCAAAGGAGCAGUACAGAGAUGUAAUUAAAAUUCUCUUAGAAUCAGCCAAAGUCGAUUCUAAAUUAAUCUGCAUGUUCCAAAAUUCAGAUAAAUUGUUAUCUCACAUGGCUGCACAGUGCCUUGCAUUGCUUCUAUAUUUCCAAUUGAGAGAAAAGAUAACCUUAAGUAAUUCCUGGAUUGCUUUUUGCCAGAAAAAUCUUUCUGAAUACUCUGAGAGUAAUAAAGCAAUAUACUGCCUCUGGACUCUUACAGCAAUAAUAAAAGAAAUCUUUAAAGAUUCAUGUUCACAGAAAACAGAAAUUCUAAAGCAGUUCCUGACUCAUUUCGACACCAUUUUUGAAGUGUUUUACAAUUCCUUAUUCUCUCAGCAUUUUGAAAACUGCCGGGAUACUUCUAAAAUAGUAAACAUCCUGAUGUGUUUCCUGGAUUUGCUUGAGCUUCUCAUCGCCUCCAGAAUCCACCUGAAGUUACAUUUCACUUGCCAGAGGAUUUUAUUUUUGAAACCAUCUUGCAUGCUAGAAGUUAUUACCUGGCCUAUUCAGGCUUUUGUUAAAAGGAAGGUCAUCAUAUUCCUCAAAAAGUGCCUUCUCUGUAAAGUGGGUGAAGACCUCUGUCGUGGAUCUGUGCCUGCCUUAAUGCCGCCAGACCAUCAUGUAGCGGUGGACAUGCUGGCUUUAGCUAAUGCUGUUUUGCAAGCUGUGAAUUCGGGGUUGUUGAAGACACUGUCUGUUUAUGAAAAACAUUCCUUUUUUGGAGGUGAUGAAGUUCAACCUGAAUGUGAACUUAUCACUAGUCCAGAUCAUGUGAUCCUUAGAGCAGCAAGCUUAGUUAUAAUGAAAUCCUUAGAAAUCAAGUUUCAAAAUUAUUCUUCAGCAAGUGAAGUGAAAGGUGCGUGACCAUGGCCCACUGCAGCCCUGACCCCCCUUCGGCCCAUGCUAUUCCUCCUGUCCCAACCUGGGAGGUCCUAGCCUGGGAGAUCAAGGCUACAGUGAGCCGCGACCCAUCGCACACCUGCACUCCAGUCCUGGUGCAACAGAUGGAGAUCCUUUCAGGGAGAGAGAGAGAGAGAGAGGAGAAGACAGAGAGAUUAAAGAAAAAUAUGUUCACUCCCACUUAUGUGUUUAUUGUUAUUAUUGUUUGUUGUUAUUUCUUUGUUAUUGUUGUGUUUACUGUUUAUUUAUUUUGAGGCAGGGUCUUGCUCUGUCUCCCAGGCUCACUGCAGCCUCAACGUUUUGAGCUGAAGUGAUCCUCUCGUCUCUGUUUCCCCACCCCAUUUGUAUUAAUCCUUCAUACAAUUAGUGUUUCCACUAAUGUAGAUUAUUGAAAAUUAGAUAUUGAAUUAAAGCUAAUAUAUGAGAAGUUAUAUUGACAAAGAAAUUGUUACAUAUAUAAUUUCCAGAAUAGUAACUCAGGAGUUCAAAGUCUUCCAUUUUACUUGAGAAAAAUGAAUAGUAAAUGUCUCUAAACAGGCAGCAUACAGAUUCAGUGAAAAGUUUGAAUUGUGAGCAAUGACAUCACUGAAUUGCUUUGGAUAUAAUUUAGCUUUUAAUAACUACACAUUAGUUAUAAUUCUGUGCAGUUUUAAUUUAUAACACUAGAUGGCACCUGUUAUAUAAUUCAGUUUUAAAUUGUAGUUCAAACUACCUAAAACGUUUUUUAUUUUUGUGCUUAAUAGUAGUACUUCUAUGCUUUAAACAAACAAAAAAUAUGUUUUUCUGUUAUUUUGAAGACAAAAUUAUUUUUGCUUGGUUGCAUUCUUGGACAGACAGCUCUGGCAUCCGAUGAAGUGAUCUUAGUUGUCUGCUCAUUUAUUUAUCUGCUUUUAGCAAGAAAUCACAUAACUUUUAUUUCUAAGAGACAGUUGUUAGGCAGUUGUUGCAAAUAGAUGAUGUAGCUGUACAUUUUAAAUGUAUGCUCUGGAAUGAGUCACUUUUUUUCCCUGAGCCUCAGUGUCCUCAUUUGCCAAAUAAAGAUGCUUCCUAACUGAUUCCUGAUGACUUUUUGAAAGUGAAUUAGGAUAAUUGCAUCUUAAGGUACUUUAGACACUAUGAAUUUAUAUAUAGGCAAGAUAUUCAUUCAUUCAUAAACUAUUGCCUACACUUUGAAAUUUUCAUUUUUUGAAGUUGACUUACAGAGGUUCAUGUCUGAGUUACUGACCUUCUUAAAGCCUCAUCUUCAGCCCUCUCUGCAAUUACACAAUCCGUGCAAAUGGCUGUCUCGGGUUUUCAUAGAACAAGACGAUGACAUGCUGGAGGCUGCCAAGGCAUCACUGGGCAUCUACUUAACACUGACCAGAGGAUGUGAAGCCACUGAAAGCUUGACUCAGGGAAAAGAAAUGUGGGACCAUCACACACAUGAAAAUGGCUAUAAUCCUCACUGUAUUUUCUUGUUCUUCUUGAAAAAUAUAGGAUUUGAUUCCACAGUUCUUCUUGACUUUUUGAUUUCAUCAGAAACCUGUUUUCUUGAAUAUUUUGUUAGAUAUUUAAAAUUACUGCAAAAGGACUGGGAUAAUUUUUUCACCAUUUGCAAUAACUUUGAUGCAACUGAAUCUAAAUAUGACAUAAGUAUUUGUGGCUGUGUCCCCUCACUUGUCCAAGACCAAAGCUCCAACCAAACAAUACCCCAUCGUUUGACUGCUCCUCAUAGUCACAGAGAUGUGUGUGCUCGGCACUCCUGGGCUUCCGAUGCUCCCUCUGAACCACUGAAAGCUGUGAUGUCCAAGGGGGCUCACACCAUGUGUGCUUCUAGUCUGUCUUCCCCCCGGGCCUCUCAAAGUCUGGUAGAUUACGACAGCUCUGACGAUUCUGACGUGGAAUCCACAGAGCAGUGUUUAGCUAACAGUAAACAGACAUCUUUACACCAGCAAGCAACUAAGGAGAUUCAGGAUGCAGCUGGGACAAGCAGGGAUAAAAAAGAAUUUAGCCUUGAGCCUCCAUCAAGGCCUCUGGUUCUGAAAGAAUUUGAUACUGCCUUCUCCUUUGAUUGUGAAGUAGCCCCAAAUGAUGUCGUCUCUGAAGUGGGAAUAUUUUACAGAAUAGUAAAAUGCUUCCAGGAACUACAAGAUGCCAUCUGCCGUUUGCAAAAGAAAAAUCUUUUCCCAUAUAAUCCAACUGCACUUUUGAAGUUGUUAAAAUACAUAGAGGUGAUAAGUAAUAAAACUAUGAACACUUUGUAAAACAUUGACAUUUUAUUUUCCAGGUAUUGUUUUUCCUUAAUAUAAAUUAUGUCUCAAUGAGGUAAUAGUAUAAAAUCAUCACCAUAAAAGGGUUUUCUUUUUUUUUUUUUUUUUUGAGACAGAAUCUCAUUCUGUCGCUCAGGCCGGAGUGCAGUGGCGUGACUCGACUCACUGCAACCUCCACCUCCUGGGUUCAAGCAAUUCUCCUGCCUCAGUCUCCCGAGUAGCUGGAAUUACAGGUGCCCGCCACCACGCCCAGCUAAUUUUUGUAUUUUUAGUAGAGACGGGGGUUUCACCAUGUUGCCAGGCUGGUCUCAAACUCCUGACCUCAAGUGAUCCGCCUGUCCGCCCUCCCGAAGUGCUGGGAUUACAGGCAUGAGCCACUGUGCCCGGCUGGGUUUUCUAGACAAGUUCUUACUUUUUGCCUUAUUGGAAGCAACCUAGUGACUGAAAAAGAGACAUCAAGUGACAAGUCACUCAUUAUAGCUAUAUACCACUGGAGAUUUAUGGCAGUUCUAAGUGACACAAAAUCGGGGGUGGUGAUUGCGUUCCUCAGCUAGGGCUGCCGUAACAACUUGCCACGUGUGCCGCAGCUUCAGACACCUGGAAUUAUCCUCAUAGUUUUGGAGGCCAGAAUCCAAACUCAGGCUUCAGCAGGGCAAUGCCCUCAGGGUCUGGAGAAGAAUCCCACCCUGCCCCUUUCUGGCUUCUGGUGGCAGCCAGCCAGCCAUGGUGUCCCUUGUCUUGUAGUGGCGUCACUCCAGUUCCUGCCUCACAUGGCAUUUUCCUGUGUCUGUGUCCAGUUUCCCUCCUACAAGGACAUCGGUCAUUGGACUAGGACCUACCCUCAUCCAGUAUGAUCUCAACUUGAUGACAGCUGCAAAGACCCUAAUCCCAGAUAUGGCCACUUUCAUGUGUCCUUGAUGGACUUGAAUCCAGGAGAGUCACUAACCAAAUACAGUUACUAUUUCCUUCUGGGGUAUUUACACAGAAAGCGAUAUAUUACAAAUGUAAAAUCUUAGCCGUUUCUUUGAGAAGUGAUUAUACCUGGCCUACUGUAUGAACAUGAUUCUUUCUAAAAAAAAAUUUAAUCACUAAUUUUCCUAUUUAAAAUUGUGACAUGAAUAAUUAUGUUCCAUAUUCUUGAGGGGAAGCCGUAAAUUCCAUUGUAAUAUGUUUGUGUAAUAGGAGCAAUAGCUAUAUUGUGCUGCGAAGUCUGGCAUUAAGGCAGUCUAAAAUAUUGCCUGUACAUUUUUUUUUAAUGAUCUCUUUGCAGAGAAACAGAACAAAGACUAAACCUACCGCACAUUAAAAUAUAUAUUAAGGCUAUGGUAUUCGAAACAGUUUAGUACUUAAUUCAGGUAGACAUGGAAAAAUCAGUGGAGCUAAAUAGAAGGUUGCCGAUUAAAAUAACAGCGAAGUACCAGUGUUAGCCAAAUAGCAAUGCAAAGGUCAAAAGGUUUGCGUUUUAACAUGCUGUCGGUGAGGCUAUGCGUUAAGGCAGUUUCUACCGUAAUUGAAAAAGCACGUCAAAGAAUGUGUAUUCAAGGAUGCCACAUAGUUUGUAAAAAAUGUUAAGGUUUUAGAGUUUUACUAGAAAUACCUGGUAAAGUAAGUCAGAAUUUGUAUAGUCAGUGGAAUGGUAGAUGCGUUCUAUGCACGUUUGUGGAUGUGAAACAUCUCCAGUAAAAAACAAGUAAAUACAUGGGGCUUGCAAUUAUUUAGGGAAAGAAGCAGGGCGGGAGUAAUACACAUUCAUAUAUAUGCUUUUGUGCAUGUAUAAAAUAUGUAUGUAAGACUACAUAAGAAAGUCAUAAUAGUGGUUGCCUUGGGAGACAGGUCUGAUGUGGAAGACAAAGUCUCAUCUUUUUGUACUAUUUUUAGUGGGAUACAUGCAGCACUGCAUUAGGAUGUUUCAAUAACAGACCACAUAGUACAGUGGUCCCAUAAGACUAUCAAGCCGUUAUUUUUACUGUGACUGUCCUAUGUUUAGGCAUGUUUAGAUACACGCAUACUUACUAUUGUGUUACAGUUGCCUACAGUAUUCAGUACAGUAACAUGCUGUGUACAGGUUUGUAGCCUAGGAGCAAUGGGCUAUACCAUAUAGCCUAGGUGUGUAGUAGGCUAUGCCAUCUAGGUUUGUUGAGUAUACUCUGUGACAUACAUGACAUGACAACAAAAUUGCCUUACAGCUCAUUUCUCAGAACAUGUCCCUGUCAUGUGACACAUGGCUGUUUUUUGAUGGAAAUAACUGGGAAAAAAAAAUCGACUCUUGUUCCUAAGGGUACAUAAAUGUUGAAUGCAUUAUAACUCA